Molecule: ribosomal RNA, 169 nt
Filed under: uncultured bacterium
Lineage: Bacteria
Description: partial 16S rRNA
Rfam family: Bacterial small subunit ribosomal RNA
Source: RNAcentral
CCUACGGGAGGCAGCAGUGGGGAAUAUUGGACAAUGGGCGAAAGCCUGAUCCAGCAAUGCCGCGUGUGUGAAGAAGGUCUUCGGAUUGUAAAGCACUUUUGGCAGGGACGAUGAUGACGGUACCUGCAGAAUAAGCCCCGGCUAACUUCGUGCCAGCAGCCGCGGUAAU